AAUCUCUAUAGAGCGUCGCAAUGACUCUCGGCAACGGAUAUCUCGGCUCUCGCAUCGAUGAAGAACGUAGCGAAAUGCGAUACUUGGUGUGAAUUGCAGAAUCCCGUGAACCAUCGAGUCUUUGAACGCAAGUUGCGCCCGAAGCCGUUUGGCCGAGGGCACGUCUGCCUGGGCGU
Molecule: ribosomal RNA, 176 nt
Filed under: Boehmeria leiophylla
Lineage: Eukaryota; Viridiplantae; Streptophyta; Magnoliopsida; Rosales; Urticaceae
Also listed under: 1 other name
Description: 5.8S ribosomal RNA
Rfam family: 5.8S ribosomal RNA (bases 23-176)
About the family: 5.8S ribosomal RNA (5.8S rRNA) is a component of the large subunit of the eukaryotic ribosome.
Source: RNAcentral